AAAAUUGCCAUUCAUCUCAAACAAUCAACAUCUUUACAUGCAAAUGCCAUCAAAAGGACUUUUUCAAGGCUUGUAAUGAGGUUGGGCUAACAAGAAAGAAUUGGUUUUUCUGGAAUGCAAAAUCCUUGAUUCAAGAGAGCUAUUAAAAUAUUCAACAUUUAAGCACAACUCUCUUCCUCACCAAUCUCUCUCAUUCCCAACUUUUCCCUUUUCUUUUUCUUUUGCAUUGAGCUCUUCUUCAUGCUUUUCUCCUUUUCUUUUCUUUUUCUCAUGAGUUUUUCUUUUCACAACAUUUAAGCUCAAUGCUUUUCACUUGCUUUUUCAACUUUCCCCCAACAACCCCAAACUUGAACCUUUUCAUCACAUACAAGUUAGCUCAUCCCA
This 384-nucleotide long non-coding RNA is filed under the name Vigna radiata. Its description in RNAcentral is "long non-coding RNA (VRAD_LNC000942)". Lineage: Eukaryota; Viridiplantae; Streptophyta; Magnoliopsida; Fabales; Fabaceae. The record is from RNAcentral.